GAUGAACGCUGGCGGCGUGCUUAACACAUGCAAGUCGAACGAAGCACUGGAGAACGAAUCUUCGGAGGAAGUCUCCUUUGACUGAGUGGCGGACGGGUGAGUAACGCGUGGGUAACCUGCCUCACACAGGGGGAUAACAGUUGGAAACGACCGCUAAUACCGCAUAAGCCGGAAGGAUCGCAUGAUCCGGCCGGAAAAGAUUUAUCGGUGUGAGAUGGACCCGCGUCUGAUUAGCCAGUUGGCAGGGUAACGGCCUACCAAAGCGACGAUCAGUAGCCGGCCUGAGAGGGUGAACGGCCACAUUGGGACUGAGACACGGCCCAA
RNAcentral lists this ribosomal RNA (324 nucleotides) under uncultured bacterium. RNAcentral's name for it is "bacterial SSU rRNA". It matches the Rfam family "Bacterial small subunit ribosomal RNA", at positions 28 to 334 of the family's 1533-position model. The record is from RNAcentral.